Molecule: ribosomal RNA, 631 nt
Filed under: Microbacterium maritypicum
Lineage: Bacteria; Bacillati; Actinomycetota; Actinomycetes; Micrococcales; Microbacteriaceae
Description: bacterial SSU rRNA
Rfam family: Bacterial small subunit ribosomal RNA
Source: RNAcentral
AACGGGUGAGUAACACGUGAGCAACCUGCCCCUGACUCUGGGAUAAGCGCUGGAAACGGCGUCUAAUACUGGAUAUGUGACGUGGCCGCAUGGUCUGCGUCUGGAAAGAAUUUCGGUUGGGGAUGGGCUCGCGGCCUAUCAGCUUGUUGGUGAGGUAAUGGCUCACCAAGGCGUCGACGGGUAGCCGGCCUGAGAGGGUGACCGGCCACACUGGGACUGAGACACGGCCCAGACUCCUACGGGAGGCAGCAGUGGGGAAUAUUGCACAAUGGGCGCAAGCCUGAUGCAGCAACGCCGCGUGAGGGACGACGGCCUUCGGGUUGUAAACCUCUUUUAGCAGGGAAGAAGCGAAAGUGACGGUACCUGCAGAAAAAGCGCCGGCUAACUACGUGCCAGCAGCCGCGGUAAUACGUAGGGCGCAAGCGUUAUCCGGAAUUAUUGGGCGUAAAGAGCUCGUAGGCGGUUUGUCGCGUCUGCUGUGAAAUCCGGAGGCUCAACCUCCGGCCUGCAGUGGGUACGGGCAGACUAGAGUGCGGUAGGGGAGAUUGGAAUUCCUGGUGUAGCGGUGGAAUGCGCAGAUAUCAGGAGGAACACCGAUGGCGAAGGCAGAUCUCUGGGCCGUAACUGACGC